UAACGUGAGCGUCCUAAGGUAGCGCGAUAAUUUGCUUUUCAAUUGAAGGAUGGUAUGAAAGGGUUAACGAAGAAGGUGCUGUGUCUAAAAAUUCAAUUUAAACUAACUUUAAGGUGAAGAGGCCUUUAUGUAAAAGAAGGACGACAAGACCCUAUGAAGCUUUAUCUUAAUUGGAGCUCUCAGGCUCUUAUACGAUUUUGAUGGGAGAUCAGUAGAAAGAAGUCUUCUACUAUCAUAUUAAUCUUACUAGUAUUUCCUAACUUUAUAUGUGUGGCUAGCUACUCUAGGGAUAACAGCGCAAUUUCUCCCGAAAGAUGGUAUUGGAGGGGAAGAUUGCGACCUCGAUGUUGGCUUUAGAUACCCUAGAGGCGUAGAAGCUUCU
Molecule: ribosomal RNA, 382 nt
Filed under: Mytilus galloprovincialis (Mediterranean mussel)
Lineage: Eukaryota; Metazoa; Mollusca; Bivalvia; Mytilida; Mytilidae
Description: partial 16S ribosomal RNA
Rfam family: Bacterial large subunit ribosomal RNA
Source: RNAcentral